CGCACCUUGCGCUCCUUGGUAUUCCGAGGAGCAUGCCUGUUUGAGUGUCAUGAAACCCUCAACCUCUGACUUUCUUAAUCGUCGGUCAGCGGCUUGGACUUGGGUGUCUGCCGGUCUUCAUUGAUCGGCUCACCUGAAAUAUAUUAGCGAAUCCCUUCUGUAAUCGGUUCCACUCGACGUGAUAAGUAUUUCGUCGAGGACAUCUUUAUUGAUGGCCGAGAUAAAGCUGGUUCUAGAUCUGCUUCUAACUCUUUCGUUGCCUUCUUGGUAAAGAAAAACCCCUCAUGAUCUGGCCUCAAAUCAGGUAGGACUACCCGCUGAACUUAA
This 327-nucleotide unclassified non-coding RNA is filed under the name Itersonilia perplexans. RNAcentral describes it as "partial contains 5.8S ribosomal RNA, internal transcribed spacer 2, and large subunit ribosomal RNA". Lineage: Eukaryota; Fungi; Basidiomycota; Tremellomycetes; Cystofilobasidiales; Mrakiaceae. The record is from RNAcentral.